RNAcentral lists this small nuclear RNA (150 nucleotides) under Solanum tuberosum (potato). RNAcentral's name for it is "snRNA U1". It matches the Rfam family "U1 spliceosomal RNA". Rfam says of the family: U1 is a small nuclear RNA (snRNA) component of the spliceosome (involved in pre-mRNA splicing). Its 5' end forms complementary base pairs with the 5' splice junction, thus defining the 5' donor site of an intron. Lineage: Eukaryota; Viridiplantae; Streptophyta; Magnoliopsida; Solanales; Solanaceae. The record is from Rfam by way of RNAcentral.
AUACUUAUCUGAACGGGUUAGUGGGCAAUCAAUAAGGCCCAUGGCUUAGGUUAGUAACUUCCUUUGCACUUUGGAAGGGUGCCUACUUAAGGUCGGUCCAAAUGAUUGAGCCUAUGUCAUAAUGGGGCUUGCCAUUCGCGCAACCUCUAA